Mytilus californianus (California mussel) is the source of this 1588-nucleotide long non-coding RNA. RefSeq lists it as uncharacterized. The record is from RefSeq and is a predicted model, not a curated record. NCBI's taxonomy places the organism in Eukaryota, Metazoa, Mollusca, Bivalvia, Mytilida, Mytilidae. The transcript has 3 exons.
CUUCAAUCACGAUCAAUUGCGCCAAUAUAUUUUGGCAGUUAUCAAUCGCAUAGCGUUUUUGUUGGAAAAGCAGAUAAUAUUAAAUUAUAGAAGAAACUCCAUAACAAAAAGAGGAAUGAUAGUUAAAGAUAUUCAUAAAGAGAACAGCGUACUAUAUAUUGCUAGUUAUUUCGAAGUUUCUUUAAAACAAGGCCAACCCAAAAGCUUACAGCCACUGCCGUCUCUUCAGAUAAGAAAGAGAAUGGAAAUGGGAAAUGUGUCAACAAGACAAAAACCCGACCAAAGAGUAAAAUGAGCCAACAACACAGCUAGAAAAUCCCGCACUCGCAGGGGGACUUCAGCUGGUCCCUCAACAAAAAUGUGUACUAGUUCCGUGAAAAUAGAUGUCAUACUGAACUCAUCCAAUCAAGCCAAACUAACGACUGGAUUAUAUUCUAACAGCAAAAGGAAAACACAUGUCAUAUAAAGCAAGCAGUGGCGUAUAUUUAAUUUUGGCUUUUUAUCGGGACAGGCAGAUACAAAAUGAGACAGGUUUAAUAUAAAAAAGCAGAUGUGGUAUGGUUGCCGAUGAGACAACUCUCCACAGGAGACCAAAUAAUACAGAAAUUAACAGAUAUAGGUCAUCGUACGCAAUUAGCAAAGCCCAUACCGCAUAGUCAGCUACAAAGGGCCCUAAGAUCACAAAUGUAAAACAAUUCAAACGAGAAAACUAACGCCCUAAUCAAUGUACAAACAAAUGAACAAAAAACAAAUAUGUAAAACAGCAACAAACGGUAACCACUGAAUUACAGGCUCCUGACUUGGAACAGUCACACUCAUACAGAAUUGGUGGGGUAAAACAUGUUAGCGGGAUCCCAACCCUCCCCUAACCUGGGACAGUGGUGUAACAGUACAACAUAAGAAUGAACUAUAAAAAUCAGUUGAAAAAGGCUUAACUCAUCAGAUGAAUACAAUUGGAAAUACAUCUAACUAAAAACACAGAGUGGACGUUGCGGGUACUUGUAUAUCCCAACAACAGAAAGACAAACAUAGACGUGGCCGUUUACUUGUUCAUCCUAACAACAAAUAUACGCUAAGUACAGAUUUGAGAGUUCCUGCAGAUACUGACAGCUAGUUAAAAGCCAAUAACAACUAAUAAUAGAAACAUGCAUCUACGACUAAAUUAAUCUUUUUUUUGCGGUGACCAACCUUCCCUUUAACCUCGCACAGUGGUUUUACAUCAAAACUUAGGAACAAAACUGUAAAAGUAAGCCAAAAAAUACUACACACCUCAGAUCGAUUCAAAGCAUAGAAAAAAAGUCGCGUCAAGGCAAUAAAUUCAUUCUUGUCUGAAUAAUUAUUCUUACACUCUAACAGUUUGUUUUCUGUUUUCUCAUUCUGGUCCAAUAAACAAUUAUAAAAAAAAUAUACAUAUAUUUAUACCAGUAAUUGUUCUAAGGUACCGGUUGUGGAUAAGUUGCUUGUUUUAUAAGCAAAGGACACUCUUUAUAUAAAAAGUACUAAACAAAAAUCAUGUUUAUUUCUAAAAACAGUAGAACAAAAACGGAAACAACUCUUUUCUCACAUUGAUAUUAGAAGAUGGAAAUAU